CCUACGGGAGGCAGCAGUGGGGGAUAUUGCACAAUGGGGGAAACCCUGAUGCAGCGACGCCGCGUGUGGGAAGCCGGUCCCCUGAAUUGUACACCACUGUCCCCAGGGCCGAAGAUGACGGUACCUGGGGAGGAAGCUCCGGCUAACUACGUGCCAGCAGCCGCGGUAAUACGUAGGGAGCAAGCGUUGUCCGGAAUUACUGGGUGUAAAGGGAGCGUAGGCGGGAUGGCAAGUUGGGUGUUAAAUCUACCGGCUCAACUGGUAGUCGCACUCAAAACUGCUAUUCUUGAGUGAAGUAGAGGCAGGCGGAAUUCCUAGUGUAGCGGUGAAAUGCGUAGAUAUUAGGAGGAACACCAGUGGCGAAGGCGGCCUGCUGGGCUUUUACUGACGCUGAGGCUCGAAAGUGUGGGGAGCAAACAGGAUUAGAUACCCUUGUAGUC
RNAcentral lists this ribosomal RNA (440 nucleotides) under uncultured bacterium. Its description in RNAcentral is "partial 16S ribosomal RNA". It matches the Rfam family "Bacterial small subunit ribosomal RNA", at positions 338 to 795 of the family's 1533-position model. The record is from RNAcentral.